ACAUGCAGUCGAGCGGAUCGAUGGGAGCUUGCUCCCUGAGAUCAGCGGCGGACGGGUGAGUAACACGUGGGUAACCUGCCUGUAAGACUGGGAUAACUCCGGGAAACCGGGGCUAAUACCGGAUAACUCAGUUCCUCGCAUGAGGAACGGUUGAAAGGUGGCUUUUCGCUACCACUUACAGAUGGACCCGCGGCGCAUUAGCUAGUUGGUGAGGUAACGGCUCACCAAGGCGACGAUGCGUAGCCGACCUGAGAGGGUGAUCGGCCACACUGGGACUGAGACACGGCCCAGACUCCUACGGGAGGCAGCAGUAGGGAAUCUUCCGCAAUGGACGAAAGUCUGACGGAGCAACGCCGCGUGAGUGAAGAAGGUUUUCGGAUCGUAAAACUCUGUUGUUAGGGAAGAACAAGUGCCGUUCGAAUAGGGCGGCACCUUGACGGUACCUAACCAGAAAGCCACGGCUAACUACGUGCCAGCAGCCGCGGUAAUACGUAGGUGGCAAGCGUUGUCCGGAAUUAUUGGGCGUAAAGCGCGCGCAGGUGGUUUCUUAAGUCUGAUGUGAAAGCCCACGGCUCAACCGUGGAGGGUCAUUGGAAACUGGGGAACUUGAGUGCAAAAGAGGAAAGUGGAAUUCCAAGUGUAACGGUGAAAUGCGUAGAUAUUUGGAGGAACACCAGUGGCGAAGGCGACUUUCUGGUCUGUAACUGACACUGAGGCGCGAAAACGUGGAGAGCAAACACGACUAUAGAG
Molecule: ribosomal RNA, 750 nt
Filed under: bacterium IBRC-M M29
Lineage: Bacteria
Description: bacterial SSU rRNA
Rfam family: Bacterial small subunit ribosomal RNA
Source: RNAcentral